RNAcentral lists this ribosomal RNA (916 nucleotides) under Escherichia coli. RNAcentral describes it as "partial 23S ribosomal RNA". It matches the Rfam family "Bacterial large subunit ribosomal RNA", at positions 608 to 1529 of the family's 2925-position model. Lineage: Bacteria; Pseudomonadati; Pseudomonadota; Gammaproteobacteria; Enterobacterales; Enterobacteriaceae. The record is from RNAcentral.
UUGUAUAAUGGGUCAGCGACUUAUAUUCUGUAGCAAGGUUAACCGAAUAGGGGAGCCGAAGGGAAACCGAGUCUUAACUGGGCGUUAAGUUGCAGGGUAUAGACCCGAAACCCGGUGAUCUAGCCAUGGGCAGGUUGAAGGUUGGGUAACACUAACUGGAGGACCGAACCGACUAAUGUUGAAAAAUUAGCGGAUGACUUGUGGCUGGGGGUGAAAGGCCAAUCAAACCGGGAGAUAGCUGGUUCUCCCCGAAAGCUAUUUAGGUAGCGCCUCGUGAAUUCAUCUCCGGGGGUAGAGCACUGUUUCGGCAAGGGGGUCAUCCCGACUUACCAACCCGAUGCAAACUGCGAAUACCGGAGAAUGUUAUCACGGGAGACACACGGCGGGUGCUAACGUCCGUCGUGAAGAGGGAAACAACCCAGACCGCCAGCUAAGGUCCCAAAGUCAUGGUUAAGUGGGAAACGAUGUGGGAAGGCCCAGACAGCCAGGAUGUUGGCUUAGAAGCAGCCAUCAUUUAAAGAAAGCGUAAUAGCUCACUGGUCGAGUCGGCCUGCGCGGAAGAUGUAACGGGGCUAAACCAUGCACCGAAGCUGCGGCAGCGACACUAUGUGUUGUUGGGUAGGGGAGCGUUCUGUAAGCCUGUGAAGGUGUACUGUGAGGUAUGCUGGAGGUAUCAGAAGUGCGAAUGCUGACAUAAGUAACGAUAAAGCGGGUGAAAAGCCCGCUCGCCGGAAGACCAAGGGUUCCUGUCCAACGUUAAUCGGGGCAGGGUGAGUCGACCCCUAAGGCGAGGCCGAAAGGCGUAGUCGAUGGGAAACAGGUUAAUAUUCCUGUACUUGGUGUUACUGCGAAGGGGGGACGGAGAAGGCUAUGUUGGCCGGGCGACGGUUGUCCCGGUUUAAGCGUGUAGGCUGGU